Belonocnema kinseyi is the source of this 439-nucleotide long non-coding RNA. RefSeq lists it as uncharacterized. The transcript is spliced from 3 exons. The record is from RefSeq and is a predicted model, not a curated record. Lineage: Eukaryota; Metazoa; Arthropoda; Insecta; Hymenoptera; Cynipidae.
AGUAGGUUAGUUUGAGGUUAUUGGGAGGAGUAGUUUUGGCCUUUCGACUGUAAAUAUUUUUACAUUAUUAUUCUAAUUAUAAAAAAUAUUGAAACUGAAAAGUACUCGUCGCGUUCGGAGACAUCGACCAAUUUCCAACACUCUAAGAAUCCAGAACGAAAACGAAAAAAAAUGUUGAAAGUCUUCUUUUUGACAGGGCAAAUCAAAUCCGAAAAUCCAUUACCACUAUGAUCAAAAAGUACAUGUCAAGAGAAUUAGCCAUGAGAUUUACAGCUAUAAAGAGAAUAACAAAUAAAUUAAUUUUCAAGGUUUUUUACUUGUGCUCUUCUAUUCUCGGCGUUGUUUGUGAAAAAUACAAAUCCACUGAGGAUGAACUCAGCUACUUGAAAUUUUUCUUUCAAAUAAACAAUUUUACCUUUAUAAAUGAGACUACAAACAU